UGGUAUGACUGGUCUCGCUGAUUCCUCCUUUCUGAAGAACUGUAAUGUCAUUAAUUUGGUGUUGCAGGGAAACAGGACUGUUACUUUGAAAAAAUUAGAGUGUUUAAAGCAGGCUAACGCUUGAAUACAUUAGCAUGGAAUAAUGAAAUAGGACGUUCGAUCCUAUUUUGUUGGUUUCUAGGAUUGACGUAAUGAUUAAUAGGGAUAGUUGGGGGCAUUAGUAUUCAAUUGUCAGAGGUGAAAUUCUUGGAUUUAUUGAAGACUAACUACUGCGAAAGCAUUUGCCAAGGAUGUUUUCAUUAAUCAAGAACGAAAGUUAGGGGAUCGAAGACGAUCAGAUACCGUCGUAGUCUUAACCAUAAACUAUGCCGACUAUGGAUCGGAUGAUGUUAAUUUUUUAAUGACUCAUUCGGCGCCUUACG
RNAcentral lists this ribosomal RNA (422 nucleotides) under uncultured Glomeromycotina. RNAcentral describes it as "SSU rRNA". It matches the Rfam family "Eukaryotic small subunit ribosomal RNA", at positions 672 to 1092 of the family's 1831-position model. Lineage: Eukaryota; Fungi; Glomeromycota. The record is from RNAcentral.